This 1365-nucleotide ribosomal RNA is filed under the name Salmonella enterica subsp. enterica serovar Napoli. RNAcentral describes it as "partial 23S ribosomal RNA". It matches the Rfam family "Bacterial large subunit ribosomal RNA", at positions 1589 to 2925 of the family's 2925-position model. Lineage: Bacteria; Pseudomonadati; Pseudomonadota; Gammaproteobacteria; Enterobacterales; Enterobacteriaceae. The record is from RNAcentral.
AGCAACAAAUGCCCUGCUUCCAGGAAAAGCCUCUAAGCAUCAGGUAACAUCAAAUCGUACCCCAAACCGACACAGGUGGUCAGGUAGAGAAUACCAAGGCGCUUGAGAGAACUCGGGUGAAGGAACUAGGCAAAAUGGUGCCGUAACUUCGGGAGAAGGCACGCUGACACGUAGGUGAAGUGAUUUACUCAUGGAGCUGAAGUCAGUCGAAGAUACCAGCUGGCUGCAACUGUUUAUUAAAAACACAGCACUGUGCAAACACGAAAGUGGACGUAUACGGUGUGACGCCUGCCCGGUGCCGGAAGGUUAAUUGAUGGGGUCAGCGCAAGCGAAGCUCCUGAUCGAAGCCCCGGUAAACGGCGGCCGUAACUAUAACGGUCCUAAGGUAGCGAAAUUCCUUGUCGGGUAAGUUCCGACCUGCACGAAUGGCGUAAUGAUGGCCAGGCUGUCUCCACCCGAGACUCAGUGAAAUUGAACUCGCUGUGAAGAUGCAGUGUACCCGCGGCAAGACGGAAAGACCCCGUGAACCUUUACUAUAGCUUGACACUGAACAUUGAGCCUUGAUGUGUAGGAUAGGUGGGAGGCUUUGAAGUGUGGACGCCAGUCUGCAUGGAGCCGACCUUGAAAUACCACCCUUUAAUGUUUGAUGUUCUAACGUGGACCCGUAAUCCGGGUUGCGGACAGUGUCUGGUGGGUAGUUUGACUGGGGCGGUCUCCUCCUAAAGAGUAACGGAGGAGCACGAAGGUUGGCUAAUCCUGGUCGGACAUCAGGAGGUUAGUGCAAUGGCAUAAGCCAGCUUGACUGCGAGCGUGACGGCGCGAGCAGGUGCGAAAGCAGGUCAUAGUGAUCCGGUGGUUCUGAAUGGAAGGGCCAUCGCUCAACGGAUAAAAGGUACUCCGGGGAUAACAGGCUGAUACCGCCCAAGAGUUCAUAUCGACGGCGGUGUUUGGCACCUCGAUGUCGGCUCAUCACAUCCUGGGGCUGAAGUAGGUCCCAAGGGUAUGGCUGUUCGCCAUUUAAAGUGGUACGCGAGCUGGGUUUAGAACGUCGUGAGACAGUUCGGUCCCUAUCUGCCGUGGGCGCUGGAGAACUGAGGGGGGCUGCUCCUAGUACGAGAGGACCGGAGUGGACGCAUCACUGGUGUUCGGGUUGUCAUGCCAAUGGCACUGCCCGGUAGCUAAAUGCGGAAGAGAUAAGUGCUGAAAGCAUCUAAGCACGAAACUUGCCCCGAGAUGAGUUCUCCCUGAGACUUUAGGUCUCCUGAAGGAACGUUGAAGACGACGACGUUGAUAGGCCGGGUGUGUAAGCGCAGCGAUGCGUUGAGCUAACCGGUACUAAUGAACCGUGAGGCUUAACCUUACAAC